This 99-nucleotide ribosomal RNA is filed under the name uncultured bacterium. RNAcentral describes it as "partial 16S ribosomal RNA". It matches the Rfam family "Bacterial small subunit ribosomal RNA", at positions 395 to 508 of the family's 1533-position model. The record is from RNAcentral.
CGCCGCGUGAGUGAUGAAGGCCUUCGGGUUGUAAAGCUCUGUUCUCAGGGAAUAAAAAAAUGAAGGUACCUGAGGAGAAAGGACCGGCUAACUUCGUGC